UGAUAUUCCAAUUUAUGAUCCUGCUUGGUUCAAUUUGGACUGGUCCAGGAAAAAGAAAAAAGAAAACAGAAAAAAGAAAUUCACAGAUUUAUUUUUUAAUAAUGAAAUCUAACCCCUUAAGGAUACAGUGCCAUUUUAUUUUAAUUUUAAUUUUUAUUAUGCUUGGUGUGUCCCAAAUAAUUACAUUUUCAGUAUGGAAAGCAAGUUUGAUAAAAUCUGAAUUUAUGUUUGUUUGGCAACUGGAUACCAAAGAGACGUUUGCCUUGCAGCAGGUGAAAUCUUCCCGAGGCAGGAUGGAACACAUGUCCUCUACAUCGGCAGGUGGAUUCUUAACCACGGGACCACCAGCGAAGCCCAAGAAAUCUUUUCAAGAAUGCUCCUAACCUCUGUCUUCUCAUGGCUGGUUCCUUAUUAUCUGGAGUCUUAGGGAAAAUAUCCUCUUUUCAGGAAGACUUUGCCUCAUUCUAUCAGAUAAAUUAUUUGAUGUAUCCUACAGCCAGGAUUCUCCAUAUACACAUCUGAGACACUAACCAACUAUGCCAAACAUGAUUGGGAAUAGGUGAUUUGCGAUUCUCUAACAUAAGCUCUACAUGAACCGUGCACUUCCAGAUGUUCAAGCUGGUUUCAGAAAAGGCAGAGGAACCAGAGAUCAAAUUGCCAACAUCCACUGGAUCAUCCAAAAAGCAAGAGAG
Cervus elaphus (red deer) is the source of this 692-nucleotide long non-coding RNA. RefSeq lists it as uncharacterized. The transcript has 3 exons. Lineage: Eukaryota; Metazoa; Chordata; Mammalia; Artiodactyla; Cervidae. The record is from RefSeq and is a predicted model, not a curated record.